CCGCCUGCCCAGUGAACUCACUUAAACGGCCGCGGUAUCCUAACCGUGCAAAGGUAGCGUAAUCACUUGUUCUCCAAAUAGGAACUAGUAUGAACGGCUAAAUGAGGGCCCAACUGUCUCCUUUAGCAAGCCAAUGAAACUGAUCUUUCAGUACAAAAGCUGAGAUAAACACAUAAGACGAGAAGACCCUGUGGAGCUUUCAAACUACCACUAGACCACCCACCCUAACUAGCCAGCAGUUUUAAGUUGGGGCGACUACGGGACCAAAAAAACACCCGCGAGCCAGGGCCUACAGCCCGCUACUGGCCAACAUGCCAAAAGCACAAUAACACUCGACCCAGCCACCACUGAGCAACGAACCCAGUUACCCCAGGGAUAACAGCGCCAUCCUCUUAAAGAGUCCAUAUCGCUAAGAGGGCUUACGACCUCGAUGUUGGAUCGGGACACCCAGGCGGUGCAGCCGCUGCCCAAAGGUUCGUUUGUUCAACGACUAAUGUCCCACGUGAUCUGAG
RNAcentral lists this ribosomal RNA (512 nucleotides) under Homonota horrida. Its description in RNAcentral is "partial 16S ribosomal RNA". It matches the Rfam family "Bacterial large subunit ribosomal RNA", at positions 1854 to 2609 of the family's 2925-position model. Lineage: Eukaryota; Metazoa; Chordata; Lepidosauria; Squamata; Phyllodactylidae. The record is from RNAcentral.